AACAAACGCUGGCGGCGUGCCUAACACAUGCAAGUCGUACGAGAAAAUUGGCUUCGGCCGAUGAGUAAAGUGGCGCACGGGUGAGUAACGCGUGGAUAAUCUGCCCCUCAGUUGGGAAUAACUCAUCGAAAGGUGGGCUAAUACCGAAUAAUACUGUGAGACCUCGGUCGAUCAGUCAAAGAGAGCCUCUGCUUGCAUGCCCUCGCUGAAGUAUGAGUCCGCGUACCAUUAGCUAGUUGGUAGGGUAAUGGCCUACCAAGGCGACGAUCUAUAGCUGGUCUGAGAGGACGAUCAGCCACACUGGGACUGAGACACGGCCCAGACUCCUACGGGUGGCAG
This 339-nucleotide ribosomal RNA is filed under the name uncultured Pseudomonadota bacterium. RNAcentral describes it as "bacterial SSU rRNA". It matches the Rfam family "Bacterial small subunit ribosomal RNA", at positions 29 to 351 of the family's 1533-position model. Lineage: Bacteria; Pseudomonadati; Pseudomonadota. The record is from RNAcentral.